Molecule: long non-coding RNA, 2994 nt
Organism: Mus musculus (house mouse)
Lineage: Eukaryota; Metazoa; Chordata; Mammalia; Rodentia; Muridae
Product: predicted gene, 51520
Exons: 3
Source: RefSeq, a predicted model, not a curated record
UCUCUCUCUCUCUCUCUCUCUCUCUCUCUCUCUCACACACACACACACACACACACACGAGCCCAUCUCACUGCCUCCUCUGCCCACUCGCCUACUCCAGAGUUGUUACUGAGGUGGGCCUGCCUGUCUGAGAACUGGGAUCAGCAGAGGAGGCACAACAAUGGACUGUCUAUGGGUUUUGUAUGAGAAAAGAGAAAUUUUUGGUCUCAGAAAGGAUGGCAUUGCAAGGAGUACCGGGGUGGAAUGGGCUUCCAUCCUGGCAGAGACUAUGAGGAAGUCACCUCCCUCAGGGUGGGGAGAGGGCCCUUAGGGAGCUCACCUGGGACUGCAGUUGUCCCUCUGCUGUGUGCUCUGAGGCCAGGUUGGAACCUAGGAGUCUAACCCACAGUUCACCUGCUUUAAAAGGUCUCUGAUUUGUAUGGGAUAUCUUUUCUCACAGCAAAAUAUAGACCUAAUACAUCAAUGUAAGUUAAACCUUCUCUUUAACAAGGGAGGGACUUAGAAGGGCCACGCUGUUCCUGCACUUCUACUCCAUCCCAGACACCCUUGCCCCAUUUUGGUCCUCAGAGCCAGACCUUUAAUGAGUCCCAUGCAGAAGGGUCUGUAGCAGUGACAUUACAGAAGACUAUCCUAUGGGACAAUUGUUUCCUCUUUGUGUUUCCUCAUGAGCUUUAAAUAGACAGGCAGUCACAGUGAAACUCUCCCUGCGACCAAGACUGUGCUGUUCCCUGUCUCCAGUAGACAGACUGGUGAAUCACACAGAACCAUGAAGAUUGUCCCCUUGGCCAGCAUCUCCAUGCCUCCUACUGGCCCCUGUAGCUUAGGGUUUCAUCAGUACCAAGAGUGUGUUUUAAUGAAUAGAUUCCCCAUAGCAGUUCAUCAAUUAGUUUAAAAUUGCACCCGACCCACCACACACACCUUGUGAGCUUGGGUUGAGGCCUCUUCUCCAGAAAGAGCAUUGGCUGCCCUCCCAUGUCUGUCUCCUCUGCUGGCCAGUGACUUGUCAAAGGGUAGAGGGAAACAGCAUCUAAAGUUAGGAAGAAGAAAUGCCUUUUGUGUCACUGACCUGCAUUCUUUCCAUAUAUUUGUUUUCAUAGCAACAAACCAAAUGUUUUAAAACAGAAACCAGAACUGAUAUGAAGCAAUUUCAUCACCUGCCUUCCACAGCGCAAUUGGCGCCUCCAUAUUAAGUCCUGAGUGUCCUGUCCUUCCUCCUUUGGGGGUUUCUGUUGGACACAGUUUUCUCUUUUGAGCUACUCACUUGCAGCUGAGAAAGCACCUUUCUUCCCUAGUAGCAAGACCUAGAAGUGGGUAAUCCAAGACAGCAACAUGUCCUUAUUGCCAACAUCAGAAAAGAUUCAGGCCCACUUCAACUAAACAAAGUGGCACAGACCUAGGAAAUUCUCAGCUCCCGCUUUCCCCAAAAAGCUCAGUGACAUUUCCCAAGUGAGGAGGCAGGAGAGGAGGUGCUGUCAGUCUAGACUAGACUGAUGAAAAGGCUACCUCAGCACACCUAGGGCAGCAUGUGUGGAUACUGACAUGUGGGGCUGCUUCUUGACUUUGCUCCAGAAGAUACAAGCCCCACAGAGCCUCACCCAAGAGCCUGAGUACAACAGCAGAUACAUCUUCCAGCAACUGAUAUCUUCCAGCAGCAGAUACAUCUUCCAGCAGUUGAUACAUCUUCCAGCAGCAGAUACAUCUUCCAGCAACUGAUACAUCUUCCAGCAACAGAUACAUCUUCCAUCAGCAGAUACAUCUUCCAGUAUCUGAAACAUCUUCCAGCAGCAGAUACAUCUUCCAGUAUCUGAAACAUCUUCCAGCAGCAGAUACAUCUUCCAGUAUCUGAAACAUCUUCCAGCAGCAGAUACAUCUUCCAGCAGCAGAUACAUCUUCCAGCAACUGAUACAUCUUCCAGCAGCAGAUAUAUCUUCUAGCAACUGAUACAUCUUCCAGCAGCAGAUACAUCUUCCAGCAUCUGAAGCAUCUUCCAGCAGCAGAUACAUCUUCCAGUAUUUGAAACAUAUUCCAGCAGCAGAUACAUUUUCCAGCAGCAGAUACAUCUUCCAGCAGCAGAUAUAUCUUCUAGAAACUGAUACAUUUUCCAGCAGCAGAUACAUCUUCUAGCAACUGAUACAUCUUCUAGCAGCCAGGGAUUUCAGAAAGAGGUGGAGUGUAUGAAUGUGGAGGUCAGAAGACAAAUUGAAGGAGUCAGUUUUGCUACAUCGAUCCUGGGUUUUAGCCUCAGGUUAUCAAGUACCAUUACCCACUUAGCCAUCUUACCAGCCUGUGUGCUGUUGGGCAUUGGGCUAUACACUGACAGUCUGGUCUCCAGUCAAGCUGAGGUGUAACCCCGGGACCCAGUGGUGAUAAUUGACUUACAUGGGACAGAAGUUCUCUCAUGUCUCCUGGAACUCUGGCUCCUGUCAAAGUUACCGCCCCCACAGCCCUCAAAAGAGAAGCAUGGCUUUAGUCAAAUAGCCAAUGCCCCAAGCUUCUGACCUUCAGGUUAAACUCCUCCCCAGUUACCUAGCAACAGUAAAGAUAACAGCAUACCAUAAGAGGGGCUGUUUGGCCCCUCCUCAUUCUCUUGCUCUCUUGCUCUUACUCCCCUUACACUUACUCUCCCCUCCCCUCCCCUCCCCUCCCCUCUCCUCUCCUCUCCUCUCUCUCUCUAACCUCUUACUCACUCCCUCUUACUCUAGACUUUCUUCUCUCUCUUCUUUUCCCCUUUCUCUCCUCUUGGCCAUGGCUGGUCUCUCUCUCUUUCUACCUUUUCUCAUUCUCCCUGCCUUUUGAUAAUAAAGCUCUAAAACCAUAGACUGUCUCUGUUCAUCUAGGCCUGCUGUGCUUACUCUCGCCUGCAUUUGAACCUCUCUCCAUCAGCCCUCACUCCCAUAAACCCAGUGCUACAGGGUGUCGUCCCGGGGCCCCAGGUAAGGGGCUGUCCCUUUUCCACCACCACCAACAACAACCCCCCUUCGAGUGUGGUCAGUG